RNAcentral lists this ribosomal RNA (434 nucleotides) under uncultured Clostridium sp. RNAcentral's name for it is "bacterial SSU rRNA". It matches the Rfam family "Bacterial small subunit ribosomal RNA", at positions 341 to 792 of the family's 1533-position model. Lineage: Bacteria; Bacillati; Bacillota; Clostridia; Eubacteriales; Clostridiaceae. The record is from RNAcentral.
ACGGGAGGCAGCAGUGGGGAAUAUUGCACAAUGGGGGAAACCCUGAUGCAGCAACGCCGCGUGAGUGAUGACGGUCUUCGGAUUGUAAAGCUCUGUCUUCAGGGACGAUAAUGACGGUACCUGAGGAGGAAGCCACGGCUAACUACGUGCCAGCAGCCGCGGUAAUACGUAGGUGGCAAGCGUUGUCCGGAUUUACUGGGCGUAAAGGGAGCGUAGGCGGAUUUUUAAGUGGGAUGUGAAAUACCCGGGCUUAACCUGGGUGCUGCAUUCCAAACUGGAAGUCUAGAGUACAGGAGGGGAAAGCGGAAUUCCUAGUGUAGCGGUGAAAUGCGUAGAGAUUAGGAAGAACACCGGUGGCGAAGGCGGCUUUCUGGACUGUAACUGACGCUGAGGCUCGAAAGCGUGGGGAGCGAACAGGAUUAGAUACCCUGGUA